This is a long non-coding RNA of Eriocheir sinensis (Chinese mitten crab), 2139 nucleotides long. RefSeq lists it as uncharacterized. NCBI's taxonomy places the organism in Eukaryota, Metazoa, Arthropoda, Malacostraca, Decapoda, Varunidae. The transcript is spliced from 3 exons. The record is from RefSeq and is a predicted model, not a curated record.
AGAAAACUCUCCUUAACACUCCUGCACACCACCAGGUACUCACACACGGGCUAUAAUAGUAACACAAAGCACAGCACACCUUUAACGUCACUCGAGUUGCCUUUAACCACCAGUACACACUAAUAUCGCAUGACACACUUAUAUCGGAUGAAUUUCACCCAGUUGAGCACUGCAGCCACACCCGUCCUGAUAACUUAUCGCCCAAUAUCCACAGGCAAUUCCACAAACUGUAAGAUUCACGUGUUAUCACUUAGCACAAUCUGGUAAUGCCGCAAGGGAACACCACCUGCCACUUUUUUUCUUCACCAGACGCUUCAAUGAACACUUUCGAAUGCACACACACACUUUAACUUCGGUUUUAUGAAGCAUUAGUGUAGUUUUCCAAUGCCCAGGUGCACUGUCACGCCGAUUAGUAUGUGGGAACUGACACUUUGUAAAACGUGGCUUAACCCUUCAGCAUGAAUUCCAGUGCUGGGAAACAAAGACCACUAACGUAUGCACAGCACUUUCCUCCUCUUUGUCAAGUUGCAUAAACCUUGGACACGCGUGGAUCAAUAUUCAACACAUGCUUUUUCACACACGAAGUUGCUGGCAAGGGUAAUGUUGCAGGCCUCGACACAAAGAAGUUCCCAUGAUAUAGAAUUCGAUUUCCAAAGGUCAAUAGAGAACAUAAUGGCUUGGACACACGUGGAUUAAUAUUCAACACAUGCUUUUUCACACACGAAGUUGCUGGCAAGGGUAAUGUUCCAGGCCUCGACACAAAGAAGUUCCCUUGAUAUAGAAUUCGAUUUCCAAAAGGUAUAUUAUCUAAGUACUCUUGCAAACGUAAUGGCUUGGACACACGUGGAUCAAUAUUCAACACAUGGUUUUUCACACACGAAGUUGCUGGCAGGAGUGAUGUGGGAAGUUCAGACACAAAAGAAGUUCCCUCAAUAUAGAAUUAAAUUUCCAAAGGUUAAUACCCUCUGUACACUCUUGCAAACGUGGAUCAAUAUUCGAUGCUUCGCUUUUUUCCACAGUGCUGACAAGCGUUUAAUGUUGGAGCUUAGACACAAAGAAGUUCCCUUGAUAAAAAGCAUUUCCAAAGGUCAGUACCAUCUAUGUAUCCUUGCAAACACAGGUACAGGUGAACGCGAGACCGUGAUGGCAGUAAUACAUCGUUUGACAAGGGUUUUAUGUUGAAGCUUAGACACAAAGAAGUUCCCUUAAUAAAAAGCAUUUCCAAAGGUCAGUAUCAUGUAUGUAUCCUUGCAAACACAGGUGAGGGUGUGACCGUGAUGCCAGUAAUACAUCGUUUGACAAGGGUUUUAUGUUGGAAGCUUCGACACAGACUUUCCCUUGAUAAAAAGCAUUUCCAAAGGUCAGUAUCAUGUAUGUAUCCUUGCAAACACAGGUGAGGGUGUGACCGUGAUGCCAGUAAUACAUCGUUUGACAAGGGGUUUAUGUUGGAAGCUUAGACACAAAGACUUUCCCUUGAUAAAAAGCAUUUCCAAAGGUCAGUAUCAUGUAUGUAUCCUUGCAAACACAGGUACAGGUGAGGCUGUGAAGGCAAUAAUACAUAGUUUCCUUGUCACCACCAGCAGCUUCACUGUAUUCUUGUUACAUGUUUCCACGGAUAAGUCUCCAUCAAUGUGGUUUUUUUUUAAUUUGUAUUGCCAGCAUCCAUGACACCAUCGUUUAUAUCUUGCCCACCACACACAAUACAGCGAUCAAUAAGUCGUUUUUUUAUUGAGAGCAUCCAGGAUACCAUCGUUGACAUGUUGCCCACCACACACACAACACACCGCUCGUCACUUCACCAAAGCACCAUCACUAGAAACACUGUAACAAGCACCUCUCACCGGGCCUUGCAUCAUCGGCUUUCCCUCACACACCACCACCACCAAAACCCAAGCCAGAAGUAAUCAAUAAGUCUUUUUAAUUGACAAUAUUCACAACGAGAGCUUCACCACGUUGAGAUAUUCCCCACCAAACACGUAACACACAGCUCACCACUUCACUGAACCACUAUCACAAGAAACACUCCAACACCCAACCAUCACCUUUACAUAACGAGGAAACACACACACAAGCCACCACCACCACCACCACCACACUCGUUUAAUUAACACCACCGUUAACCACACUGCACAGCCCACU